RNAcentral lists this long non-coding RNA (200 nucleotides) under Sorghum bicolor (sorghum). RNAcentral describes it as "long non-coding RNA (SBIC_LNC006342)". The record is from RNAcentral. Lineage: Eukaryota; Viridiplantae; Streptophyta; Magnoliopsida; Poales; Poaceae.
ACUGUCUUGUUGUGGUUGGCUUGCUUCAUCUUUUCUUGACCAUUGCUUGCAUGAGAGAACUAAUAAGAAUACCACUUGAACAUCAUGACUAGCUCUCUUUGGGUUGUUGCUUGCUUUCUUGAUCAAUCCUUUUGGUUGCUUCAACUAAGCAUCUCAAAUGUCCUUUAGAUCACCACUUCCAUGUUAGCCUUCCAAGCACC